GCUGGGUAUGGUGGUGCACACCUGUAAUCCCAGUGGCUUGGGAGACUGAGGCAGGAGGAUCACGAGUUCAAAGUCAGCCUUGCAAAAGCGAGGCACUAAGCAACUCAGUGAGACCCUGUUUCUA
RNAcentral lists this small RNA (124 nucleotides) under Marmota monax (woodchuck). Lineage: Eukaryota; Metazoa; Chordata; Mammalia; Rodentia; Sciuridae. The record is from RNAcentral.